Molecule: long non-coding RNA, 737 nt
Organism: Symphalangus syndactylus (siamang)
Lineage: Eukaryota; Metazoa; Chordata; Mammalia; Primates; Hylobatidae
Source: RefSeq, a predicted model, not a curated record
AAACUGAAGCCCAGACAAAGGAAAUGGCUUGCCCAGGAUUGCGUGGAUUUCUUUCAUCUUUGCUGUAUCUCAGAGCCCCUGGCUCCUUCAGCUGCCUUGUCUGAGUCUCCUGGCACUCCAGCUGCCUCAGGCUUCCCCAUCAUACCAUCGGCGGUACUAUAGCUCUUCAAUGUCUUUCACAUGUCAAAGGGAGCAGUGCAUUAAAAUAACAGAGAUGGACUAAAGCUUCUGGAACGAAUGCAGGAACUGAACAGGAAAACUGAAAGAAUCCACAGAAGUUUUGAAAGAAGUGGCAGGCUGCAGCCUACUCUGUGAGACAGGCAAAAAACUCACCUCUAGGCAGAAUAGCACUGCACCCAGGAAGGAGAAAACGGCUGCAUAUUCUCAGCUAUCACUACUGCUUACAACACCCUGGCUAACCAGAAGUCCUGUGUCUGUCCACGUGAUAAGUUCACUAUAAUUAUAACCAGCAUUUGAGAAAGUCAGCACGUUAAGCCUAUCUACAACCAAGGAAUCUUGCAGAGUUUACAUCACUCCCCUCCCACUUCUGUCAGAGAUGGUGCUGGUAUUCACUGCUGUGAGUCUUGAAGACAGGAUCGAAGCCAUCAAGCUACAGAUGGUCUUACAAGUGGAACCCCAAAUGAGCUCAACUAACAACUUCUACUGAGGACUGCUGGACCAACCUGCUGGCCCUUUCACUGGCCUAAAGAGUUCCCCUCUGGAGGACACUACAACUG